RNAcentral lists this ribosomal RNA (1284 nucleotides) under metagenome. RNAcentral describes it as "bacterial LSU rRNA". It matches the Rfam family "Bacterial large subunit ribosomal RNA", at positions 1668 to 2925 of the family's 2925-position model. The record is from RNAcentral.
CCUGUAGAGAAUACCGAGGCGUUCGGGUGAACUAUGGUUAAGGAACUCGGCAAAAUGCCCCCGUAACUUCGGGAGAAGGGGGGCCAUUCUGGGUGAUUGGAUUUUCUCCAUGAGCUUGGGGUGGCCGCAGAGACCAGCGAGAAGCGACUGUUUACUAAAAACACAGGUCCGUGCGAAGCCGUAAGGCGAUGUAUACGGACUGACGCCUGCCCGGUGCUGGAACGUUAAGGGGACCGGUUAGUCGCAUUUCGGUGUGGCGAGGCUGAGAACUUAAGCGCCAGUAAACGGCGGUGGUAACUAUAGCCAUCCUAAGGUAGCGAAAUUCCUUGUCGGGUAAGUUCCGACCUGCACGAAUGGCGUAACGACUUCUCGACUGUCUCAACCAUAGGCCCGGUGAAAUUGCAUUACGAGUAAAGAUGCUCGUUUCGCGCAGCAGGACGGAAAGACCCCGGGACCUUUACUAUAGUUUGAUAUUGGUGUUCGGUUCGGCUUGUGUAGGAUAGGUGGGAGACUGUGAAGCUUGGACGCCAGUUCAGGUGGAGUCGUCGUUGAAAUACCACUCUGGUCGUGCUGGAUGUCUAACCUGGGUCCGUGAUCCGGAUCAGGGACAGUGUCUGAUGGGUAGUUUAACUGGGGCGGUUGCCUCCUAAAGAGUAACGGAGGCGCCCAAAGGUUCCCUCAGCCUGGUUGGUAAUCAGGUGUUGAGUGUAAGUGCACAAGGGAGCUUGACUGUGAGACCGACGGGUCGAGCAGGGACGAAAGUCGGGACUAGUGAUCCGGCGGUGGCUUGUGGAAGCGCCGUCGCUCAACGGAUAAAAGGUACCCCGGGGAUAACAGGCUGAUCUUCCCCAAGAGUCCAUAUCGACGGGAUGGUUUGGCACCUCGAUGUCGGCUCGUCGCAUCCUGGGGCUGGAGUCGGUCCCAAGGGUUGGGCUGUUCGCCCAUUAAAGCGGUACGCGAGCUGGGUUUAGAACGUCGUGAGACAGUUCGGUCCCUAUCCGCUGUGCGCGUAGGAGUUUUGAGAAGGGCUGUCCCUAGUACGAGAGGACCGGGACGGACGAACCUCUGGUGUGCCAGUUGUCCUGCCAAGGGCAUGGCUGGUUGGCUACGUUCGGGAGGGAUAACCGCUGAAAGCAUCUAAGCGGGAAGCCUGCUUCGAGAUGAGAACUCCCACCUCCUUUGAGGGGUUAAGGCUCCCAGUAGACGACUGGGUUGAUAGGCCAGAGGUGGAAGGCCGGUAACGGUUGGAGCUGACUGGUACUAAUAGGCCGAGGGCUUGUCCUA